RNAcentral lists this ribosomal RNA (117 nucleotides) under Ruminococcaceae bacterium OttesenSCG-928-N02. The record is from RNAcentral. Lineage: Bacteria; Bacillati; Bacillota; Clostridia; Eubacteriales; Oscillospiraceae.
GUCGGUGCUGAUGACGCCAAGGAUCCACCUGUUCCCAUUCCGAACACAGAAGUUAAGCUUGGUCGUGCUCACAAUACUUGGCUGGAGACGGCCCGGGAAGAUAGGUAGGUGCCGACA